UAAGAUCGGCGCUCCCCAAGGCGAACUGCUCGGUCGAAUGAAACCCUUGUCUAACAGCUCCUGAAGCUGUGUAGACAACUCCUGCAUCUCAGGGGGAGCAAGUCGAUAUGGUGCUUUGGCUAUCGGAGCCGCACCAGGAACCAGGUCGAUCCUGAACUCACCCUGCCUCUCAGGAGGUAUCCCCGGCAAAUCCUCGGGAAACACAUCCGGGUAAUCUCGAACAAUAGGAACAUCAUCGAUCGUCGUCUUGCCCUUAUCCCGGGCAUCCAAGACGUAGGCUACAUAACCGGCGCAACCCUGCUGAACGUAGCGCCUCGCCCUAGCGGCAGAGCAGAAGGUCAAUCCUCGCUGGGGCCUCUCGCCCUGAANCGUAGCGCCUCGCCCUUGCGGCGGAACAAAAGGUCGGUCCUCGCUGGGGCCUCUCGCCCUGAAUCACUAUCUCUCCCCCACUGGGAGUGCGAACCCUCACUAGCUGAAGCUCACAAUCAAUCACCGCCCCAUUGGGGCUUAGCCAAUCCAUGCCCACAAUAACUUUAUUCCCUCGCAGGGGAAUAGGAACCAGGUCCACUGAAAACUGCUCAUCAAAUAUCUGAAGGGAACACCCUUUAUGUACUCUGCCGACCCUCACGGUCCUAUCAUCUACUAUCUCAACCUCUAAUGGACAAUCCAGCUCCCCUGGAGCUAUGCUAAAUCUCUUGCUAAGCGCAAGCGAUACAAAUGAUCGGGUGGCCCCCGAAUCGAACAAUACCAAAGCAGGGAUGCCGUUCACCAAGAACGACCCUAAAUAAAACAUAUCAUCAAGUAAUAUUCAAAUGAUAUACUAAAAAUUAAAAGAUGAAGGAAAUAUACAUACCCGUCACCACAUCAGGAGUCGCUCGCGCCUCCUCUGCUGUCAUCUAAAAUGCCCUGCUCUUCGCCACUGGCGCAUCAGCUCGGCCCUGCCGGCCAUCCGUAAUCCUCAAGGUGGCAGGGGCAGGUGCAAACACCUUCCCUGCUGCAGCUAAACUGGGACACUGGGACUUUUUAUGUCCCCUCUGAUUGCACUGAAAGCAAAUCAGAUUUGAUGUUGUAACCGUAGUAGCAGGGGCCGUACAAUCCCUACUCAAAUGCCCAGUCCGACCGCACUUGUAGCAGCCGGAACUCCCUGCCUUGCACGCCCCCUCGUGCAAUCUCCCACACUUGCCACACCGACCGUGGCUCUGCUGACCCCUGGACCUAUGAUCUGAAACCUUGGGCUUUUUGCCCACACUACCUGAACCCGAAACCGCCUUCGGUUUCCUCUUCUUCUCCAUCUCGAGAUCAAUCUCCCUCUCCCUGGCUCUAGCAAUCAUGUCGUCCAGCGUUUUACAACUGGACCGGCUCACAAACAUGCGAAUGUCACUCCGCAACAUCUCAUGAUAACGGGCCUUCUUCAUCUCCUCAUCGGCUGCAUACUGUGGAACAAGAAGAGCCCUCUCCGUGAACUUGGCG
RNAcentral lists this long non-coding RNA (1470 nucleotides) under Lactuca sativa (garden lettuce). RNAcentral describes it as "long non-coding RNA (LSAT_LNC005757)". Lineage: Eukaryota; Viridiplantae; Streptophyta; Magnoliopsida; Asterales; Asteraceae. The record is from RNAcentral.